UGCAGAAAAAUUGCAGACCUUUGCUUGAUAUGUAAACAAAGCAGCGCGCAGUUGCCAUGUGUGCAUUUAUGGAGGAGAAACUGUGUGAGUACAGUUAGUCCUGCAGACGCCUGAAGUACAGUGUGGUGUGCGUGGAUGUGUACCGCGAAGACGAAUAGGAGACGGUGAUAUUAUUAACCGACUCGAAGCCUUUAUAGUGUUGUGAAGUGAUGCGUGAUGUCGAAUUCGAAUCUAAUGAAGUUGUUUUGAGAGAGAAAUUGAACUUGAAAAGUCUCAAGGGAAAACAGAAGCGAACAUAAAUAGCGGUCAUGGUGCUGAAGGAUAAUAAAUGACCGUGUGAUUUAGAAAUGUGGCACUUUCUGUGAGUAGUUUUAAGACGCUGUGGUUACUAAAGGGAAAACCAGGAUCUCCCAAAUGAAAAGCAAGAAUGAUGAACAGAUAAGAUAAAAAAGAACAGGAACUAAGAGAAAAAGAAGAAGCAUAGGAAAUAGG
Non-coding RNA from Penaeus vannamei (Pacific white shrimp), 492 nucleotides. The record is from RefSeq and is a predicted model, not a curated record. NCBI's taxonomy places the organism in Eukaryota, Metazoa, Arthropoda, Malacostraca, Decapoda, Penaeidae.